RNAcentral lists this ribosomal RNA (117 nucleotides) under uncultured eukaryote. RNAcentral's name for it is "partial small subunit ribosomal RNA". The record is from RNAcentral.
KYGGGUUCACCCGAAGGCGUUGCGCUAACUCGCAAGAGAGGCAGGCGACCACGGUGGGCUUAGCGACUGGGGUGAAGUCGUAACAAGGUAGCHGUAGGUGAACYUGCAGARGGAUCA